Molecule: ribosomal RNA, 787 nt
Filed under: uncultured Sphingobacteriia bacterium
Lineage: Bacteria; Pseudomonadati; Bacteroidota; Sphingobacteriia
Description: bacterial SSU rRNA
Rfam family: Bacterial small subunit ribosomal RNA
Source: RNAcentral
CAUGACUGUAGCAAUACAGUUGAUGGCGACCGGCAAACGGGUGCGGAACACGUACAGAACCUUCCUUCGAGCGGGGAAUAGCCCGGAGAAAUCCGGAUUAAUACCCCCUAGUAUGGUGAAGAGGCCUCCUCUUUACUAUUAAAGAUUUAUCACUUGAAGAUGGCUGUGCGGCUGAUUAGGUAGUUGGCGGGGUAACGGCCCACCAAGCCUGCGAUCAGUAACUGGUGUGAGAGCACGACCAGUCACACGGGCACUGAGACACGGGCCCGACUCCUACGGGAGGCAGCAGUAAGGAAUAUUGGUCAAUGGACGAAAGUCUGAACCAGCCAUGCCGCGUGGAGGAUGAAGGUCCUCUGGAUUGUAAACUUCUUUUAUAUGGGACGAAAAAAGGCUUUUCCAGGUCGUCUGACGGUACCAUAUGAAUAAGCACCGGCUAACUCCGUGCCAGCAGCCGCGGUAAUACGGAGGGUGCAAGCGUUAUCCGGAUUCACUGGGUUUAAAGGGUGCGUAGGUGGGUUGAUAAGUCAGUGGUGAAAUCCCCGAGCUUAACUUGGGAACUGCCAUUGAUACUAUUGAUCUUGAAUACCGUGGAGGUCAGCGGAAUAUGUCAUGUAGCGGUGAAAUGCUUAGAUAUGACAUAGAACACCAAUUGCGAAGGCAGCUGGCUACGCGAAUAUUGACACUGAUGCACGAAAGCGUGGGGAUCAAACAGGAUUAGAUACCCUGGUAGUCCACGCCCUAAACUAUGGAUACUCGACAUCAGCGAUACACUGUUGGUGUCUGAGCG